This 357-nucleotide RNase P RNA is filed under the name Parabacteroides sp. TM07-1AC. RNAcentral describes it as "RNase P RNA component class A". It matches the Rfam family "Bacterial RNase P class A". From Rfam's summary of the family: Ribonuclease P (RNase P) is a ubiquitous endoribonuclease, found in archaea, bacteria and eukarya as well as chloroplasts and mitochondria. Its best characterised activity is the generation of mature 5'-ends of tRNAs by cleaving the 5'-leader elements of precursor-tRNAs. Cellular RNase Ps are ribonucleoproteins. Lineage: Bacteria; Pseudomonadati; Bacteroidota; Bacteroidia; Bacteroidales; Tannerellaceae. The record is from RNAcentral. RNAcentral also lists the same sequence under 1 other name.
GCAGCCUGCCGGUCUGUCGCUCAUCUUCGGGUGAGAGGAACGUCCGGGCAACGCAGAGCACCAUACUUCUUAACGGGAAGCUGUCCGUGAGGGUAGAGUAACGUAACAGAGAAUAACCGCCGGACAUGUCCGGUAAGGGUGAAAAGGUGAGGUAAGAGCUCACCGGAUGCCGUAGUAAUACGGGAUGCCGUACGUCUUAUGGGUUGUAAGGUCAUGUAUACCGGCGCAUGUAGGAUUGCUCGUCCGAUGCCGGGGGGUAGACCGCUAAAGCUUAUCGGUGACGGUAAGACAAGAUAAAUGGCAGACGCUUUCGUGCAAACGGGAGUACAGAACCCGGCUUAUAGGCAGGCUGCAUUU